GUGCUCGCUUGAGCAGCACACAGGAAAAAAAUUGGAACAAUACAGAGAAGAUCAUCAUGACCUUUGAGCAAGGGUGACACAAAAUUUGUAGAGUGUUCCAUAUUUUA
This is a small nuclear RNA of Camelus dromedarius (Arabian camel), 107 nucleotides long. NCBI's taxonomy places the organism in Eukaryota, Metazoa, Chordata, Mammalia, Artiodactyla, Camelidae. The record is from Ensembl.